GGUCAAGCUACAAAGGGCGCAUGGUGAAUGCCUUGGCACCAGAAGCCGAAGAAGGACGCGAUAAGCUGCGAUAAGCUUUGGGUAGGCGCAAAUAGCCAGUGAUCCAGAGAUUUCCGAAUGGGGCAACCCACAUUACUAACGUAAUGUACUGUAAACUGAAUUCAUAGGUUUAUAGAGGUAUACCCGGGGAACUGAAACAUCUAAGUACCCGGAGGAAGAGAAAGAAAAAUCGAUUUUCUAAGUAGCGGCGAGCGAAAGGGAAAGAGCCCAAACCAGGAA
This 279-nucleotide non-coding RNA is filed under the name Clostridium magnum DSM 2767. RNAcentral's name for it is "Bacterial large subunit ribosomal RNA". It matches the Rfam family "Bacterial large subunit ribosomal RNA", at positions 1 to 280 of the family's 2925-position model. The record is from Rfam by way of RNAcentral. Lineage: Bacteria; Bacillati; Bacillota; Clostridia; Eubacteriales; Clostridiaceae.